RNAcentral lists this ribosomal RNA (253 nucleotides) under uncultured bacterium. RNAcentral describes it as "partial 16S ribosomal RNA". It matches the Rfam family "Bacterial small subunit ribosomal RNA", at positions 524 to 776 of the family's 1533-position model. The record is from RNAcentral.
UACGAGGGGGGCGAGCGUUGUUCGGAAUUAUUGGGCGUAAAGGGCGCGUAGGCGGUGCGGUAAGUCACCUGUGAAACCUCUGGGCUUAACUCAGAGCCUGCAGGCGAAACUGCCGUGCUGGAGUGUGGGAGAGGUGCGUGGAAUUCCCGGUGUAGCGGUGAAAUGCGUAGAUAUCAGGAGGAACACCAAUGGCGAAGGCAGCUCGCUGGGACGGUACUGACGCUGAGACGCGAAAGCGUGGGGAGCAAACAGG